AGGACAUCGUAGAGGGUGAAAAUCCCGUACUUGCCAUGGAUGUACCGUGCUUUGCGAUACGUGCUCUAAGAGUCGAGUUGUUUGGGAUUGCAGCUCAAAAUGGGUGGUAGACUCCAUCUAAAGCUAAAUAUCGGGGAGAGACCGAUAGCGAACAAGUACCGUGAGGGAAAGAUGAAAAGCACUUUGGAAAGAGAGUUAAAAGUACGUGAAAUUGUCGAAAGGGAAGCGCUUGAAGUCAGCCAUGCCGCUCAGGACUCAGCCUGGCUUUUGCUUGGUGUAUUUCCUGGGUAGCAAGUCAGCAUUGGUUUGGAUCGUCGGAGAAGCAUAGUCGGAAUGUGGCGCCCUCGGGCGUGUUAUAGCCUUCUAUUGGAUACGACGAUCUAGACCAAGGAACGCAGCGCGCC
RNAcentral lists this ribosomal RNA (404 nucleotides) under Malassezia furfur. RNAcentral's name for it is "eukaryotic LSU rRNA". It matches the Rfam family "Eukaryotic large subunit ribosomal RNA", at positions 197 to 604 of the family's 3401-position model. The record is from RNAcentral. Lineage: Eukaryota; Fungi; Basidiomycota; Malasseziomycetes; Malasseziales; Malasseziaceae.